CCUACGGGAGGCAGCAGUGGGGAAUUUUGGACAAUGGGCGCAAGCCUGAUCCAGCAAUGCCGCGUGAGUGAAGAAGGCCUUCGGGUUGUAAAGCUCUUUUGUCAGGGAAGAAACGGUGAAGGCUAAUAUCUUUUGCUAAUGACGGUACCUGAAGAAUAAGCACCGGCUAACUACGUGCCAGCAGCCGCGGUAAUACGUAGGGUGCAAGCGUUAAUCGGAAUUACUGGGCGUAAAGCGUGCGCAGGCGGUUUUGUAAGUUUGUCGUGAAAUCCCCGGGCUCAACCUGGGAAUGGCGAUGAAGACUGCAAGGCUAGAAUCUGGCAGAGGGGGGUAGAAUUCCACGUGUAGCAGUGAAAUGCGUAGAGAUGUGGAGGAACACCGAUGGCGAAGGCAGCCCCCUGGGUCAAGAUUGACGCUCAUGCACGAAAGCGUGGGGAGCAAACAGGAUUAGAUACCCUGGUAGUCCACGCCCUAAACGAUGUCUACUAGUUGUCGGGUUUUAAUUAACUUGGUAACGCAGCUAACGCGUGAAGUGACCGCCUGGGGAGGUACGGUCGGUCGAGAAGUUAAACGUUAAAGGUAAAGUUAGUUACGGCGUUGAGACGUGCCGACGGACGACGACGAGGGAGGAGG
RNAcentral lists this ribosomal RNA (633 nucleotides) under uncultured bacterium. RNAcentral's name for it is "bacterial SSU rRNA". The stretch from base 1 to 541 matches the Rfam family "Bacterial small subunit ribosomal RNA", at positions 338 to 873 of the family's 1533-position model. The record is from RNAcentral.